UACAGAGGUCUCAAGCGUUGUUCGGAUUCAUUGGGCGUAAAGGGUGUGUAGGUGGCGCCGUAAGUCGGGUGUGAAAUUUCGGAGCUUAACUCCGAAACUGCAUUCGAUACUGCGGUGCUUGAGGACUGGAGAGGAGACUAGAAUUCAUGGUGUAGCAGUGAAAUGCGUAGAGAUCAUGAGGAAGACCAGUGGCGAAGGCGGGUCUCUGGACAGUUCCUGACACUGAGACACGAAGGCCAGGGGAGCAAACGGG
RNAcentral lists this ribosomal RNA (253 nucleotides) under uncultured bacterium. RNAcentral describes it as "partial 16S ribosomal RNA". It matches the Rfam family "Bacterial small subunit ribosomal RNA", at positions 524 to 776 of the family's 1533-position model. The record is from RNAcentral.